Girardinichthys multiradiatus is the source of this 295-nucleotide long non-coding RNA. RefSeq lists it as uncharacterized. The transcript has 3 exons. Lineage: Eukaryota; Metazoa; Chordata; Actinopteri; Cyprinodontiformes; Goodeidae. The record is from RefSeq and is a predicted model, not a curated record.
CUUUGGGCAAGUGUUAGGGCUUGAGCAACGGACGAACCCAGAAUGCAGACUAGCAGGCAGCAUGAUGGCAAUUUCUAGUAGCCUCCUGGUCUUCACUCCUGCUAAGCAAGGCUCCUAACCCAUGCUCCCUGGUUCAAUAACCUCCUGGAUCUCAACACGACUACCGGCACACCCAAGGCUCCUCACUGGCUCUACACUCCAGAAAUCCUUUCAGCCUCCCUGGAUGCAGUUAUCUCCCUCCAGCCUGGACCUCCGUUCCCACCAUGGCACACCAGACUGAACCACUGAAGCCUCC